Molecule: small RNA, 539 nt
Filed under: Pan troglodytes (chimpanzee)
Lineage: Eukaryota; Metazoa; Chordata; Mammalia; Primates; Hominidae
Description: retained intron
Source: RNAcentral
ACAGCUUCUAGCCCUGCCUCGCGAGGCCUCUGAGUCCUAGCGCGGCUCCCCCGCUCCUCCCACACCCACAGGCUUCCGGCCAUAGCUGCGCGGCCCCACCUUGCCCUCCCCCCAACUCACAGGUGGUGGCUGCUCCUCUGGGGAGUCCUCCAGGCUUGCCCAACCCGGGGCUCCGUCCUCUUGGCCCAAGAGCUACCCCAGCAGCUGACAUCCCCCGGGUACCCAGAGCCGUAUGGCAAAGGCCAAGAGAGCAGCACGGACAUCAAGGCUCCAGAGGGCUUUGCUGUGAGGCUCGUCUUUCAGGACUUCGACCUGGAGCCGUCCCAGGACUGUGCAGGGGACUCUGUCACAAUCUCAGCCGGCGGGUCGGAUCCAAGCCAGUUCUGUGGUCAGCAAGGCUCCCCUCUGGGCAGGCCCCCUGGUCAGAGGGAGUUUGUAUCCUCAGGGAGGAGUUUGCGGCUGAUCUUCCGCACACAGCCUUCCUCGGAGAACAAGACUGCCCACCUCCACAAGGGCUUCCUGGCCCUCUACCAAACCGU